This 231-nucleotide ribosomal RNA is filed under the name uncultured bacterium. RNAcentral's name for it is "partial 16S ribosomal RNA". It matches the Rfam family "Bacterial small subunit ribosomal RNA", at positions 524 to 754 of the family's 1533-position model. The record is from RNAcentral.
UACGAAGGGGGCUAGCGUUGCUCGGAAUCACUGGGCGUAAAGGGUGCGUAGGCGGGUCUUUAAGUCAGGGGUGAAAUCCUGGAGCUCAACUCCAGAACUGCCUUUGAUACUGAAGAUCUUGAGUCCGGGAGAGGUGAGUGGAACUGCGAGUGUAGAGGUGAAAUUCGUAGAUAUUCGCAAGAACACCAGUGGCGAAGGCGGCUCACUGGCCCGGUACUGACGCUGAGGCAC